Molecule: ribosomal RNA, 301 nt
Filed under: uncultured bacterium
Lineage: Bacteria
Description: partial 16S ribosomal RNA
Rfam family: Bacterial small subunit ribosomal RNA
Source: RNAcentral
CAGCAGCCACGGGAAUACAGAGGGUGCGAGCGUUAAUCGGAUUUACUGGGCGUAAAGCGUGCGUAGGCGGCUUUUUAAGUCGGAUGUGAAAUCCCUGAGCUUAACUUAGGAAUUGCAUUCGAUACUGGGAAGCUAGAGUAUGGGAGAGGAUGGUAGAAUUCCAGGUGUAGCGGUGAAAUGCGUAGAGAUCUGGAGGAAUACCGAUGGCGAAGGCAGCCAUCUGGCCUAAUACUGACGCUGAGGUACGAAAGCAUGGGGAGCAAACAGGAUUAGAGACCCCCGUAGUCCCUGUCUCUUAUAA